Molecule: transfer RNA, 75 nt
Filed under: Thermoplasmata archaeon
Lineage: Archaea; Methanobacteriati; Thermoplasmatota; Thermoplasmata
Also listed under: 1 other name
Description: tRNA-Pro
Source: RNAcentral
GGGGCUGUGGGGUAGUUUGGUCCAUCCUGCGUGGUUUGGGACCACGCGACCCCGAUUCAAAUUCGGGCAGCCCCA